GUAGGGAAUAUUGCGCAAUGGACGAAAGUCUGACGCAGCGACGCAGCGUGAGUGAUGAAGGCCUUAGGGUCGUAAAGCUCUGUUGAAUGGGAAGAAAAAAAUGACGGUACCAUUCGAGGAAGGACCGGCUAACUUCGUGCCAGCAGCCGCGGUAAUACGAGGGGUCCUAGCGUUGUUCGGAAUCAUUGGGCGUAAAGGGUGUGUAGGUGGCCAUGUAAGUCAGGUGUGAAAGCCCCGGGCUCAACCCGGGAAGUGCACUUGAUACUGCGUGGCUUGAGUACCGAAGAGGGUAGUGGAAUUCCAGGUGUAGUGGUGAAAUACGUAGAUAUCUGGAGGAACACCGGUGGCGAAGGCGGCUACCUGGUCGAGUACUGACACUGAGACACGAAAGCAUGGGGAUCAAACAGGAUUAGAAACCCCAGUAGUCC
This 428-nucleotide ribosomal RNA is filed under the name uncultured bacterium. RNAcentral describes it as "partial 16S ribosomal RNA". It matches the Rfam family "Bacterial small subunit ribosomal RNA", at positions 354 to 796 of the family's 1533-position model. The record is from RNAcentral.